UACGUAGGGUGCAAGCGUUAAUCGGAAUUACUGGGCGUAAAGCGUGCGCAGGCGGUGAGGUAAGACAGAGGUGAAAUCCCCGGGCUCAACCUGGGAACUGCAUUUGUGACUGCAGAGCUGGAGUGCGGCAGAGGGGGAUGGAAUUCCGCGUGUAGCAGUGAAAUGCGUAGAUAUGCGGAGGAACACCGAUGGCGAAGGCAAUCCCCUGGGCCUGCACUGACGCUCAUGCACGAAAGCGUGGGGAGCAAACAGG
RNAcentral lists this ribosomal RNA (253 nucleotides) under uncultured bacterium. RNAcentral describes it as "partial 16S ribosomal RNA". It matches the Rfam family "Bacterial small subunit ribosomal RNA", at positions 524 to 776 of the family's 1533-position model. The record is from RNAcentral.